GAGUUUGAUCGUGGCUCAGAUUGAACGCUGGCGGCAUGCCUUACACAUGCAAGUCGAACGGUAGCAUGAUCUAGCUUGCUAGAUUGAUGGCGAGUGGCGAACGGGUGAGUAAUACAUCGGAACGUGCCCUGUAGUGGGGGAUAACUAGUCGAAAGAUUAGCUAAUACCGCAUACGACCUGAGGGUGAAAGUGGGGGACCGCAAGGCCUCAUGCUAUAGGAGCGGCCGAUGUCUGAUUAGCUAGUUGGUGGGUAAAGGCCCACCAAGGCGACGAUCAGUAGCUGGUCUGAGAGGACGAUCAGCCACACUGGGACUGAGACACGGCCCAGACUCCUACGGGAGGCAGCAGUGGGGAAUUUUGGACAAUGGGCGAAAGCCUGAUCCAGCAAUGCCGCGUGUGUGAAGAAGG
This 408-nucleotide ribosomal RNA is filed under the name uncultured microorganism. Its description in RNAcentral is "bacterial SSU rRNA". It matches the Rfam family "Bacterial small subunit ribosomal RNA", at positions 9 to 414 of the family's 1533-position model. The record is from RNAcentral.